RNAcentral lists this ribosomal RNA (2763 nucleotides) under Triticum aestivum (bread wheat). RNAcentral describes it as "partial small subunit ribosomal RNA". The record is from RNAcentral. Lineage: Eukaryota; Viridiplantae; Streptophyta; Magnoliopsida; Poales; Poaceae.
AUGCUUGAGGAUUUCUUUACUCUGACUGAGAUAAAGGAUGGCAUUUCAACUACGGCAAGAAUAGCAGAGCUGGUUUCUGAGAUCCAAAAGCUGAGAGAUGCUGCUGAUUUUAGUACAGCUGAUUUCAUAAGGCAGUGUUCAACAGCUGCAAAAACACUUGGAUCUACCAACAAUGAAGAAUGUCUUCAGCAUUUUGUUCAGCUAAAUGGUAUUGGUUAUCUCAAUCAGUGGCUUCAGGAUGCUCAAAACUGCAGCAAGGAAGUCAGCAGUUCAGCAGAAGGUUUGAUAAAUGAAAUAUUAACUGCAUUGGAGCGGCUACCAGUUGAUGAUAUACAUAAAGCUCCUUGUGGUUUAAUUCCCACUGUUCAUCAGCUACUUUCUCAUGAAAAUACAGAGAUCAGUCAAAAGGCAAGAUUACUUUGCCAGAAAUGGAGCAGUGCACCAAAUUAUGGGGAAAAUGACCGACAAAUAGAUGCAAAAGAAGCGUACCAGGCUGCUGAUCUUAAGCCCCCAGAAGCUAGCCAGGAAAUGGAAAAUAAUAAACACGGCGGAGCAAAUGAAGCUGCAACUGCAGAAGCUAAAUCAAACCAUGAUACAUUAACUUCCUCGGUUGUUCCUUUGCAGGAUCUGUCCCUUAUCAAUAAUAACACAGACAUGACAAAGCAGCCUCCAAUGCCAGCAUCCCCAAAUUCCUCGGAUGGACAGGAGGUUUUAGUGCAGGUGAACUCCUCAGUUUCAUCUCUUGCAUCUCAGGGCGGCCUACCGAAUGCGUCUGUUACCGAGGAGACUUCUUCCUCCAAUGACGUAGGUUUAGUCACCAAUGGCAAGUUGUCAGAUACUCUCAACCUAAAGAGUGACACUGGGCAUGUUACUCAAGUAAUAGGUUCGACCAUAGAUGCCAAGUGUCUUGAGAAUGUCAACUCAGAGAACUCAUUUGACAGUAUCAAAAUUGAUUUGGGGGACCAAAAUGUUUCAAGUAGCUUGGAUAUCAAAAAAGGCAAUUCCUUUGCAGCAGGUCAGUCGUGCUCUGAUAAUAAUGCAAUUGAAGCUUUGAACCAUCUUGCAAAUGCAAGCGGUAGUUUGCAAUAUUCGUCGGAGGACAGCAUGGGCAAAGAAGAAGGGCCUACAUCAUCAUCAGGUACAGAUGAUAAAGACACUGGCGGUGAAUUUUGGUUGACAAGAUCUGCGAAGAGCUUUGGGGAUUCCUCAAAGGCAGCAGAGACAAAGUUGAAUGCAGUAGAGGGAGAGAAGUCACCACCAUCGACAGAGUAUGAUGAUACUGAUGCACUGGAAGUAGCACGUCUCGUUGCAAUUGAGGUGGAGCGGGAAGUAAUUGACUACAGGGGAGACUAUUGCAGUUCUCCUGACAUUAGUUCCAAAAAUGUAGAUAGUCCUCAUGUGGAAGCAAGGCAGCACACUGAACCCCCUGUUCAUGAAUCAAAUGAGAAUAAAUCCUCCACUACGGUGGUGGAUUCAGGAAAUUCCUCGUCUCUUAAGGAGGAUGGUGUGGGCAUCACAGAUGACAGCGGUCCUAUUAAUAGCAGAAAGAACACACAGGGUGUGGAUAUGGUAGACUUUGAUCUUAAUGCAAAUCAGUACCAUGAGGAAACCGAUUAUCAUCCAAAGUCCAGUGCUAAUAAUUCUGUAAAUUUAUCAACUCCUAUAGCUGUGGCUGCUUCUAGAGGCUCACUUGUAUUUCCAGCUCGCCUCCAAUUCGAAGGUGCACUGGGGUGGAAAGGCUCUGCUGCAACCAGUGCUUUUCGGCCAGCUUCUGUUCCGCGUACUCCUGACAGAGAGAAGUCAAUGUCAGCCUCUUCACAGAAAACAAGAAAUGUGAUGUUUGACUUGAAUGUAGAUGAAAGUGAAAAUACUAUUGCUGGUGAGUCACUUUCAACAGCCUUCUGGCUUCGUUCUUCCGACAUAGCUCCCAAGGAUAUCUCUGGAGCUGAUGGUGCUAGUACGGGGCUUGAACUUGACCUUAAUAACCCAUGUGAAGAGGAGGAAGCUGCUACCACCUCACCUGCUGUACCAUCAUUCUGGAGUCAUGAACAAUGUCAUGGCAGAUGGAGCCAGCCCUCUUCCUCUUCAUCUUCAAGGCAACCUACUGCAAAGAACUUUGACUUGAAUGACAAUGUAUCCUUCUUUGAUGCCUCUUCCCGAGGCAAGGGGGAGUCCUAUGUCAAGACUUCCACGAACAAUACAUCAGACCAUUCUGAAGUCAUGAUUAUGGGCAAGAGAGUUGCACUUGGACAGAAGGAGCACCGCAGCCCAAACCAGUAUAACUUUCUGGGGCCAAGUAUGGAAUCUAGUCUCCUUGUGAGGUCAACGCAGUCAUAUGCACACACGCCUCCUGAUUUCAGUGUUUUCGGCUAUCCUUCUCAACCUGCUGCCAUGCCUUUGCCUCCUCCUCUCUAUGCACCUGGAGGUGCUCCUUACAUGGUUGAUGCUAGGGGUGCAGCAGUGGUGCCUCCAUUGCCGGGCCUAGGUGUUGGCAUUUCUCAUCCAUCUUUCACCAGCAGAACAAUUCAACCUGUGCCUAGUGAAUUUGGCUACAUGAAUGCAAGCAUGGAUUUCAACUAUGCUCUCUCAUCUGAAGGCGCACGAAGGGAAGUUGGCGGCUAUUGGCCUGUGCCAUUCCAAGGUCAUACCGUCUUUCUUGAUGAACGUAUGAGAAGUACAUCACAAGGUGGCAGCUCUGGUACUGGGUUGGUAUCGAAGCGGAAAGAACCUGACUCAGGUUGGGAUAUCUACCCCCGGCGCUGA